RNAcentral lists this small nuclear RNA (118 nucleotides) under Oreochromis niloticus (Nile tilapia). RNAcentral describes it as "U1 spliceosomal RNA (ENSONIG00000021635.2)". It matches the Rfam family "U1 spliceosomal RNA", at positions 1 to 120 of the family's 166-position model. From Rfam's summary of the family: U1 is a small nuclear RNA (snRNA) component of the spliceosome (involved in pre-mRNA splicing). Its 5' end forms complementary base pairs with the 5' splice junction, thus defining the 5' donor site of an intron. Lineage: Eukaryota; Metazoa; Chordata; Actinopteri; Cichliformes; Cichlidae. The record is from RNAcentral.
AUACUUACCUGGCAGGGGCGAUACCAUGAUCACGAAGGUGGUUCACGCAGGAUGACGACAUCUGAUGCUACUGUUAGCAUGGCAGGUUCCAGGCGGAACGCUGUACGAUUUGAGCUAC